AGUCCCUCUCUCUCCCCACACCUUAGACGCCUCUCUCCUUGCGGUUGAGCCAGCGGCUUCGGGUGCAGACAAAUCAAGUGACUUGACGGGCAG
This 93-nucleotide ribosomal RNA is filed under the name uncultured bacterium. RNAcentral describes it as "partial 16S ribosomal RNA". The record is from RNAcentral.